This 229-nucleotide ribosomal RNA is filed under the name uncultured bacterium. RNAcentral describes it as "partial 16S ribosomal RNA". It matches the Rfam family "Bacterial small subunit ribosomal RNA", at positions 119 to 334 of the family's 1533-position model. The record is from RNAcentral.
GGAUAAUCUACCCGACAGUCAGGGAUAACAUUUCGAAAGGAAUGCUAAUACCUGAUAAGCCUACGCCCUCCUCGGAGGAAGUAGGAAAAGGUGGGGACCUUCGGGCCUGCCGUUGUUGGAUGAGUCCGCGGCCCAUUAGCUAGUUGGUAGGGUAAUGGCCUACCAAGGCUACGAUGGGUAGCUGGUCUGAGAGGAUGAUCAGCCACACUGGAACUGAGACACGGUCCAG